This 383-nucleotide unclassified non-coding RNA is filed under the name uncultured Elusimicrobia bacterium. Its description in RNAcentral is "contains 16S-23S intergenic spacer region". Lineage: Bacteria; Pseudomonadati; Elusimicrobiota; Elusimicrobia. The record is from RNAcentral.
UCCACGUUAUCCGCGGCAGUCUCCCAAGAGUCCUCCCCCUUGCGGGGGUAGCAACAUGGGACGAGGGUUGCGCUCGUUGCGGGACUUAACCCAACAUCUCACGACACGAGCUGACGACAACCAUGCAGCACCUCGGCUGGCUCCCUUGCGGGUCAUCCCGUUUUUCAACAGGACUAACACCAGUCGUUCGAGCCCAGGUAAGGUUUUUCGCGUAGCGUCGAAUUAAACCACAUGCUCCACCGCUUGUGCGGGCCCCCGUCAAUUCCUUUGAGUUUUAACCUUGCGGCCGUACUCCCCAGGCGGGACACUUAAUGCGUUAGCGUCGGCACGGAAGGGGUUGAUACCUCCCACACCUAGUGUCCAUCGUUUACGGCGUGGACUAC